UACGUAGGGGGCUAGCGUUGUCCGGAAUCAUUGGGCGUAAAGAGCGUGUAGGCGGCCCGGUAAGUCCGCUGUAAAAGUCAAAGGCUCAACCUUUGAAUGUCAGUGGAUACUGCCGGGCUAGAGUCCGGAAGAGGCGAGUGGAACUCCUGGUGUAGCGGUGAAAUGCGCAGAUAUCAGGAGGAACACCGGUGGCGAAGGCGGUUCUCUGGGCAUUACCUGACGCUGAGGAGCGAAAGUGUGGGGAGCGAACAGG
RNAcentral lists this ribosomal RNA (253 nucleotides) under uncultured bacterium. RNAcentral's name for it is "partial 16S ribosomal RNA". It matches the Rfam family "Bacterial small subunit ribosomal RNA", at positions 524 to 776 of the family's 1533-position model. The record is from RNAcentral.